CAGGCCGGUCUUCUGACUUGGCGUCAUCCGUCUGCCGCAGCCUUCCCGGCAAAAGCCAGUGGCAUAGUAAAGCGGCGGGCGUCGGCCUUACAGCGUUGGGCACGUUCCGGUCUUGCACCGGAUUCCCGAUUCUCCCGCCUGAA
RNAcentral lists this small RNA (143 nucleotides) under Rhizobium phaseoli. Its description in RNAcentral is "miscellaneous other RNA". Lineage: Bacteria; Pseudomonadati; Pseudomonadota; Alphaproteobacteria; Hyphomicrobiales; Rhizobiaceae. The record is from RNAcentral.